UGAGGCCCCGAGACCCCCCUAUGGCCUCGUGUCACCUGUCCCCCCUGUCCCAGGUGUCCCCAUGUCACCUGUCUCACCUGUCUCACCUGUCCCAGGUGUCACUGUCCCCGCGGGUCCGGGCCCUGUCCCAGCACCUGCAGCAGCUCCGGGGGGAGGUCGAGGCCCUUCGGGGGCGGCUCCGGGGGGGGCACCUGGGGGGGACCCCCCGCAGGGCCCCCCCAGGUGACCCUCCCCCC
Neopelma chrysocephalum (saffron-crested tyrant-manakin) is the source of this 236-nucleotide long non-coding RNA. RefSeq lists it as uncharacterized. NCBI's taxonomy places the organism in Eukaryota, Metazoa, Chordata, Aves, Passeriformes, Pipridae. The record is from RefSeq and is a predicted model, not a curated record. The transcript is spliced from 3 exons.